UCCUUUUCUGUACCUAUACCACUGAACCAGGGGUUCAUAGAAAAAUGGGGCGACUCACCUCUGUCCCUCGAUCUCCCUCUCCUCUUCGUCGAGAAGUCCCUAUCUCUCUCCUUUCCAUCUCCCUCUCCGGCCGCCGGCGUUGAAACAACAACGCCCAGAAUCCAAAUCAUGAGGUCCAGCGGCUGCGCGCUGUGAUUGCAUCUUUUUUGCGACGCAGGGCUGUAGCUCCGUGGACCAAUAACACGGCUGCAUAGGAGUCGGCUAUCCGCCUUUAUAGCUCGAGGAUCUGAGGAGGCUCUGUGGUCAUUUCAACAUGCAUUAUGUAUUCCAUCUAUCUUGAAGUCAUCAAGAUGACUUUCUGUUCAUGCUAGUUGGCCUGAGGAUUGAUUUGUACUCUAUCGCCCGAAAUGCUUUCCUCGUGAAGUAUAUCUACUAGUCGCUGCUGCUAAGUUGAUUUUUUCGAUUCCUUUUGUCUAAACCUGGUGCACAAAGGAAACAAAUCUGUACAAGUCUAUAUGUACUUCUACUUCGGUUGUCAUUUAUGCACUUGGAUGCUUCGAGUAAAAAGGGUCACUCAUGUGUUUAAGAAGUUAGUUCGCGAUGCCAAA
Molecule: long non-coding RNA, 608 nt
Organism: Triticum dicoccoides
Lineage: Eukaryota; Viridiplantae; Streptophyta; Magnoliopsida; Poales; Poaceae
Exons: 2
Source: RefSeq, a predicted model, not a curated record